GACGAACGCUGGCGGCGUGCUUAACACAUGCAAGUCGAACGGAAAGGCCCUGCUUUUGUGGGGUGCUCGAGUGGCGAACGGGUGAGUAACACGUGAGUAACCUGCCCUUGACUUUGGGAUAACUUCAGGAAACUGGGGCUAAUACCGGAUAGGAGCUCCUGCUGCAUGGUGGGGAUUGGAAAGUUUCGGCGGUUGGGGAUGGACUCGCGGCUUAUCAGCUUGUUGGUGGGGUAGUGGCUUACCAAGGCUUUGACGGGUAGCCGGCCUGAGAGGGUGACCGGCCACAUUGGGACUGAGAUACGGCCCAGACUCCUACGGGAGGCAGCAGUGGGGAAUAUUGCACAAUGGGCGGAAGCCUGAUGCAGCAACGCCGCGUGCGGGAUGACGGCCUUCGGGUUGUAACCCGCUUUCGCCUGUGACGAAGCGUGAGUGACGGUAAUGGGUAAAGAAGCACCGGCUAACUACGUG
RNAcentral lists this ribosomal RNA (468 nucleotides) under uncultured bacterium. RNAcentral's name for it is "partial 16S ribosomal RNA". It matches the Rfam family "Bacterial small subunit ribosomal RNA", at positions 28 to 507 of the family's 1533-position model. The record is from RNAcentral.